GCAGCUUGCUAGCUUCGCUGACGAGUGGCGGACGGGUGAGUAAUGUCUGGGAAACUGCCUGAUGGAGGGGGAUAACUACUGGAAACGGUAGCUAAUACCGCAUAACGUCGCAAGACCAAAGAGGGGGACCUUCGGGCCUCUUGCCAUCGGAUGUGCCCAGAUGGGAUUAGCUAGUAGGUGGGGUAACGGCUCACCUAGGCGACGAUCCCUAGCUGGUCUGAGAGGAUGACCAGCCACACUGGAACUGAGACACGGUCCAGACUCCUACGGGAGGCAGCAGUGGGGAAUAUUGCACAAUGGGCGCAAGCCUGAUGCAGCCAUGCCGCGUGUAUGAAGAAGGCCUUCGGGUUGUAAAGUACUUUCAGCGGGGAGGAAGGCGACAGGGUUAAUAACCCUGUCGAUUGACGUUACCCGCAGAAGAAGCACCGGCUAACUCCGUGCCAGCAGCCGCGGUAAUACGGAGGGUGCAAGCGUUAAUCGGAAUUACUGGGCGUAAAGCGCACGCAGGCGGUCUGUCAAGU
RNAcentral lists this ribosomal RNA (521 nucleotides) under Enterobacter hormaechei subsp. xiangfangensis. Its description in RNAcentral is "bacterial SSU rRNA". It matches the Rfam family "Bacterial small subunit ribosomal RNA", at positions 73 to 588 of the family's 1533-position model. Lineage: Bacteria; Pseudomonadati; Pseudomonadota; Gammaproteobacteria; Enterobacterales; Enterobacteriaceae. The record is from RNAcentral.